GCCCCGGGGAGCGGCGUCCGCGAGAGUGCCCAGCUGGGAAAUGCAGCUCGGAAUUAACAGCGUAUGUUUCCUAAUCAGUUUACAGGCCGCUUUGGGGUAAGCCACUUCCAGAGGGGGAAGGGCAGCCUGGGUUUCUUUAGGACAGUUCAACCAGAUUGUAGUGGGGAGGAGAUGGGGGGCACUGGGGAUAACGGGGAGAGAGCUCUGCUCUCUCAACCAAGGAAACCGGAAAAACAGUGCUCCUUCCCCUGCCUGCAGCCUCCUUCUACAACUCAAGUGUACCCCCGAGAAGGGGACAAGGGAUAGUACCCCUGAGGGAAGAAGGGGGUCCGGGUCCCUCUGUCCUGGGAGAGGAUCCCUUCCCUGCCCUCCCACAAAUUCUGAUUUUUCAUUUCACUCUCCUUCCCGCCCCCCUUCUGUCCCCACUCCUGACAGCUGCCACGGAGAAAGAGGAAAGGACGCCAAGGGGGACUCCAGUUUCCUUUGGUCUUGGUCUGGGGUUGUCGGCCACUUCGCCAUCGCGGCCCUGUGAGCCUGGCCUUAGAACACCUCCACCCCACCCUCCAGCCCGAUUCAGACUCGGUUCGGAGAGAAACGGAAAACGGCGGGAGAUAAAAGGCUGCACCACAAAGUUGCGACGUCCUGCCCCAGGAAGUGCCAAGAGAGAAGCGGGAGUGGACGGGGAUGAGCCUGAAAAGCAAAAUGGGAGAGGAUCAAGAAAAGUGGAAAUAAGGAGCGAAGCUUGGAGAACAGACAGAGGAGAAGUUGUUUGGAAAAUAACAAGUUAUAUUGCAGGAAGAAAUGUUAACUUUUCGCAAAAGUGAACUCCCGGUGACCCUCGCAGUGUGUGACUCGGCUUUAACAUACAACUGACAAUUAAAACAAACAAGAGUUCACAAACUGCCCCCCUCCCGCUCUCCCAAAGCGGAGGCCCAAAUGUUUCCAAAGGACAGGGCAGAUUCCGCGCAGGGGGCCGGGGCGCGCUCUCCCAGCGGACGGGAUUAGAGCCACUACUGCCAACACUCCCCGCCCCCAUCACCGCGGCAAAGUGCCGGGGCUCACCCAGUGGCGGCUAAUAAUGCUAAUAACGCAACCCGGCUCCCGCGCCGGGGUGCGCGCUGGCCCCCCACAAGGCACUCUUAAAGGCACACGGGCCUGCAGCGCUGGGAUUCCCUGGCCGGGACGAGCCUGCAGCAACCUGGCCUCCCGCAGCAGAGGGCGAGGGAAGAGGGGGCGGUGCACUGCUCUGGGGUGUCGGCUCCUAGUCCUGCUGCCGGGUCUCCCAACCAAGGAGUCCUCCUCCCCUUUCUGAGCCCCGGCCACACACCCUCUUGGUGCCGGCGCAGUGGGCGCUUCGUAAAUAUUUGUUGAAUUGAAUCAUUAUCCUGUUGCUGAAAUAUACAUAGAAAAUUACACUGGUGUUUCUCAGGGCAAAAAGAGUUUUCGGUGAACCGCUCUCAGUUCUAAUGCCCUGGGUCAUCCUCACUUUUUCUCCAAAGUCUAAAAGGUUUGCAGAACUUUUUGUGAGACGGGAAGUCUCCCGGGAGACA
Zalophus californianus (California sea lion) is the source of this 1550-nucleotide long non-coding RNA. RefSeq lists it as uncharacterized. The record is from RefSeq and is a predicted model, not a curated record. The transcript is spliced from 3 exons. Lineage: Eukaryota; Metazoa; Chordata; Mammalia; Carnivora; Otariidae.